Molecule: long non-coding RNA, 663 nt
Organism: Pseudophryne corroboree (corroboree frog)
Lineage: Eukaryota; Metazoa; Chordata; Amphibia; Anura; Myobatrachidae
Exons: 4
Source: RefSeq, a predicted model, not a curated record
AUCAGCUGCAUCUAGGUAGUCUGCAUGUGUUCCCAGCCUGUAUCUGUGACUACACCUGCAGGACUUACCAUCACACAGUCUAAGCUCUCACCAGGCUGAUCAUGUGACUGCAUUACAUCAUAAUACUGUAGCAUCUGUGAUGUCACAGAGAGUUCUGCUGGUCACAGUCGGCAAUCAGCUGCAUGCCGGUAUUCUGCACUGUAUGUGCUCCCAGCCUGUAUCUGUGACUACACCUGCAGGACUUACCAUCGCACAGUCUACGCUCUCACCAGGCUGAUCAUGUGACUGCAUUACAUCAUAAACACCGUAGCAUCUGUGAUGUCACAGAGUUAGUGCUGCUGUCACAGUCGGCAAUCAGCUGCAUGCCGGUAUUCUGCACUGUAUGUGCUCCCAGACUGUAUCUGUGACUACGCCUGCAGGAUUUACCAUCGCUCAGUUUAAGCACAGCAUCAGACGCACGUUCUCAGAUCCUCUCUGCAUCACAGAGUACUAUGCAAUGAGUGAGAGCCCCCCAUACAGCUUCACCUCUCCUGUACUGGACGCUAAUGGCUGAGAACGUGGCAGACCCUGUGUCUCUUACAGCUCUGUGGCUUACAUUAUAUUUUAUACUAUUAACAGUAAAUUGCAUUUACCAGGCUUUAAGAAUACAUACUGUAUAUAUGA